This 214-nucleotide unclassified non-coding RNA is filed under the name Hevea brasiliensis (rubber tree). Lineage: Eukaryota; Viridiplantae; Streptophyta; Magnoliopsida; Malpighiales; Euphorbiaceae. The record is from RNAcentral.
GGUAACCCGUUUGGAGCGACGGGUCAAUCAUAUUCGACGCAUAACCCGUAUACUGGUUUCAUGUAGGCUGUGUCAGAGGUAGUCUAGAUUCAGCUUUAGAGAUGUAGAUAGACAGGGCAUGUUCUGAAUCAAAUUUUAGUCGUCUGUCUUCUUUUUCUUGUGGUUCUCCCCUUUUGUUUUGGGGAUUCUCUCAGAGUUUGUCGAGGCAGAGUUC